RNAcentral lists this ribosomal RNA (292 nucleotides) under uncultured bacterium. Its description in RNAcentral is "partial 16S ribosomal RNA". It matches the Rfam family "Bacterial small subunit ribosomal RNA", at positions 505 to 796 of the family's 1533-position model. The record is from RNAcentral.
GUGUCAGCAGCCGCGGUAAUACGAGGGGGGCAAAUGUUGUUCGGAAUCACUGGGCGUAAAGGGAGCGUAGGCGGGUGUUUAAGUUAGGUGUUUAAUCCCGGGGCCCAACCCCGGACAGGCACCUAAAACUGGACAUCUUGAAUAGUGGAGAGGACGACGGAAUUGGGGGUGUAGCGGUGGAAUGCGUAGAGAUCCCCAAGAACACCAGUUGCGAAGGCGGUCGUCUGGACACAUAUUGACGCUGAGGCUCGAAAGCAUGGGGAGCAAACAGGAUUAGAUACCCUAGUAGUCC